GCAAUAGCUGAUUGCAUUUAAUUUAAUGUAGUUACUACUUGGUAGUUUAAAWUUCUAGGUAGAAUUAUGAUGAUGACAUUAUCUAUCUAUUAGUCUUGACCAAAUUACGUGCCAGCAGUCGCGGUAAUACGUAGAAGACAAGUGUUAUUCAUCUUUAUUAGGUUUAAAGCGUACCAAGACGGUUAAUAAAGCCCAAAAGAAAUGAAUACGGGGGACACAUUAACUAGAGUUAUAUGAAAGGAAGCUCUAAGGUACUGUUGAGUGUAGAGAUGAAAUUCUUUGAUACCAGAUGAUUGGCACAGAUUAAUGCGAAGGCAUCUUCUUAUGUAAUAACUGACGUUGUAGGACGAAGGCUUAGGAAGUGAACAGGAUUAGGUACCCCAGUAAUCUAGGCAGAAAAUGAUGAAUGUCAUAGGUUGAAUAUAUAUUAUUGUGUCUAUAAAUGAAAGUGUAAGCAUUCCACCUCAAGAGUAAUUUGGCAACAUUGGAACUGAAAUCAUUAGACCGUGUCUGAAACCAGUAGUGAAGUAUGUUGUUUAAUUAGAUGAUACACAAGAACCUUACCACAAAAUGAAUAUAUAUAAAAUAUAUUUACAAGCGCUGCACGGCUGUCUACAGUUAAUGUCGUGAGACUUUGGUUAGCUCCAGGAAAUUGACGUAAACCCUAAUUUUAUUUAUAAAUAUAAU
This 687-nucleotide ribosomal RNA is filed under the name Sticta caliginosa. RNAcentral's name for it is "SSU rRNA". It matches the Rfam family "Bacterial small subunit ribosomal RNA", at positions 375 to 1127 of the family's 1533-position model. Lineage: Eukaryota; Fungi; Ascomycota; Lecanoromycetes; Peltigerales; Lobariaceae. The record is from RNAcentral.